This 253-nucleotide ribosomal RNA is filed under the name uncultured prokaryote. Its description in RNAcentral is "partial 16S ribosomal RNA". It matches the Rfam family "Bacterial small subunit ribosomal RNA", at positions 524 to 776 of the family's 1533-position model. The record is from RNAcentral.
UACGUAGGGUGCAAGCGUUAAUCGGAAUUACUGGGCGUAAAGCGUGCGCAGGCGGCUUUGCAAGACAGAUGUGAAAUCCCCGGGCUUAACCUGGGAACUGCAUUUGUGACUGCAUGGCUGGAGUGCGGCAGAGGGGGAUGGAAUUCCGCGUGUAGCAGUGAAAUGCGUAGAUAUGCGGAGGAACACCAGCGGCGAAGGCGGCGCUCUGGGCCGGAACUGACGCUGAGGAGCGAAAGCGUGGGUAGCAAACAGG